GGGUCAGUAGGUUGGUCGUGCCACCGGUACGUACUGGUCCCACUGAUUCCUCCUUCCUGAAGAACCGUAAUGCCAUUAAUUCGGUGUUGCGGGGAAACAGGACUGUUACUUUGAAAAAAUUAGAGUGUUUAAAGCAAGCUAACGCUUGAAUACAUUAGCAUGGAAUAAUGAAAUAGGACGCUCGAUCCUAUUUUGUUGGUUUCUAGGAUUGACGUA
Molecule: ribosomal RNA, 216 nt
Filed under: Glomeromycotina sp.
Lineage: Eukaryota; Fungi; Glomeromycota
Description: partial small subunit ribosomal RNA
Rfam family: Eukaryotic small subunit ribosomal RNA (bases 87-216)
Source: RNAcentral